Molecule: ribosomal RNA, 466 nt
Filed under: uncultured bacterium
Lineage: Bacteria
Description: partial 16S ribosomal RNA
Rfam family: Bacterial small subunit ribosomal RNA
Source: RNAcentral
GAUGAACGCUGGCGGCGUGCUUAACACAUGCAAGUCGAACGGAAAGGCUCCUGCUUGCAGGGGUACUCGAGUGGCGAACGGGUGAGUAACACGUGGGUGAUCUGCCCUGCACUUCGGGAUAAGCCUGGGAAACUGGGUCUAAUACCGGAUAGGACGAUGGUUUGGAUGCCAUUGUGGAAAGUUUUUUCGGUGUGGGAUGAGCUCGCCGCCUAUCAGCUUGUUGGUGGGGUAAUGGCCUACCAAGGCGUCGACGGGUAGCCGGCCUGAGAGGGUGUACGGCCACAUUGGGACUGAGAUACGGCCCAGACUCCUACGGGAGGCAGCAGUGGGGAAUAUUGCACAAUGGGCGCAAGCCUGAUGCAGCGACGCCGCGUGGGGGAUGACGGCCUUCGGGUUGUAAACUCCUUUCGCUAGGGACGAAGCGCAAGUGACGGUACCUGGAGAAGAAGCACCGGCUAACUACGUG